CAGGGAUCCUUUAUGUGGAUAAAUUAAGAUUUAAAACAGGUGACCUAGAGAUGUUGCAUGUGAUUAGCUGAUACACUUUACCCUUGCUCCUACGAAAACAGCCGUGAGCUUCACAGGGACGACUCUUUCCUAGGGCAUUUGAUUCUGAAGUGGCCUGAAGGAGGUAGUGGAAGUGUGGGCUUGUGAGGCGAUUAUUUCAGUGGCUGAAUUAAACCAGACUCUUUUCAGAAGAAUUCAAAACGAACAUGGCUAAACAUGCAAAAUAAACACAGGAUCUUCAGACAUAACGACGUCUAGCUUUGAAGCAUGGUUUGAAGAUUUUCAUGAGGCCUUCCUUUCUACGUAUUCAAAUGCAAUACUACAACUCCAAGAUCAAUAGCAUAUUUGGCUAUCAAACCAGUCUUGCGAUAAACAGGAUUUCAGGGUCCAUCUGAAAUAGUCCUCCCCAUUCUGCCUUUCAAAGUAUUACAUGCUGACCUUCAAAGUCACAUGAUUUCGAAAUGCGACCAAAUCAUGGCCCUCGGCCCUUGCGGUGCUCCACUCUGAGAAUGGAUUACUGGGCAAUGUGCAUCCUCUUGGUUCAUCACACAAUUGUCUUCUGGCAGACCCUGCAUGUAAUUCACGCCUUCUUGGGAAGGCCUAACCCCAAGGAGAGUGCUGCGGAAGGCACUGCUUUGUCCUGAACCAGAACCCGGCAAAUCCAAGCACCCUUCUCUCUUCCUCACCAACAAUCAAGUUAUUCUUACAAAUAAAGGUUCGGCCUGGGUAUCGUUAAAGAUAACCUUUGUGCAAGUGAAGUCCGUCUUUCUCUCAACAUCAUCAGUAUUUGGGGAGGAGUGAGUGACCCCUGGGAGCAGGGAUGCAGAGAUCU
RNAcentral lists this long non-coding RNA (871 nucleotides) under Canis lupus familiaris (dog). RNAcentral's name for it is "lncRNA (ENSCAFG00845024901.1)". The record is from RNAcentral. Lineage: Eukaryota; Metazoa; Chordata; Mammalia; Carnivora; Canidae.